CUUAGAGAAGCUGAAACACCAAUGAUCGAAGGAUUUAGAUGAGAAUCCAACAAACGCCACAACGAAUAGUUGAUAAGUUAGCCAAGAUUCCUGGUGCAAUUGAUGAAAGCAAAUCCUCACUCUCACUCAAAGCAAUACACGCUAAAGGCAUGAGAAGAAUUCUGAAAUUUUGAUUAAAAGCUGCCUCUUACAAUUGUUUCUUAUCCUUAUAUAGUAAGGAGAAAAACAAAUAAAACCCUAAGACACUCUUCUUGGACUUGACUUAA
This 266-nucleotide long non-coding RNA is filed under the name Manihot esculenta (cassava). Its description in RNAcentral is "long non-coding RNA (MESC_LNC001641)". Lineage: Eukaryota; Viridiplantae; Streptophyta; Magnoliopsida; Malpighiales; Euphorbiaceae. The record is from RNAcentral.